CAGUCGCCACGGUAAUACGUAGGUCCCGAGCGUUGUCCGGAUUUAUUGGGCGUAAAGCGAGCGCAGGCGGUUAGAUAAGUUUGAAGUUAAAGGCUGUGGCUUAACCAUAGUACGCUUUGGAAACUGUCUAACUUGAGUGCAAGAGGGGAGAGUGGAAUUCCAUGUGUAGCGGUGAAAUGCGUGGAUAUAUGGAGGAACACCGGUGGCGAAAGCGGCUCUCUGGCUUGUAACUGACGCUGAGGCUCGAAAGCGUGGGGAGCAAACAGGAUUAGAUACCCCGGUAGUCCCUGUCUCUUAUACA
This 301-nucleotide ribosomal RNA is filed under the name uncultured bacterium. RNAcentral's name for it is "partial 16S ribosomal RNA". It matches the Rfam family "Bacterial small subunit ribosomal RNA", at positions 509 to 808 of the family's 1533-position model. The record is from RNAcentral.